AUUAGUGCAGUGAUGAAGCAAUAUUGUGGACUAGAGUUUCUGAUAUUGGGCUCUUCUUCCCAUUUUAUUUUGACGACAAACCCUUGGCUGUCUGAGCACUAACGGUUAUCAAUCAUUUUUUUUUCUCCAAGUUUUCUUAAUUUACUAAAAUAUAUUCACUCAAAUUUUGAUUGUUUGUAAAUUAGGUUGAGGGCUAAUGAUGAGAAAUACAAUUAUCUUAGCGGAUUUCAGUGAGAUUACUUACUUGUAAUCAAUGAUCUGAUUGUUACACACAUUGAAGCUCUUAGUAAUUUUUUUUAAUAAAAUGGGAUGUAAAUAAUAAUAAUAAUAGCAGUGAUGAGGCAAAACACAUGAGGAUGUGUUUAGGGAAGUGGACAAUACAAUGGAAGUUGUGUUGCCGUGAUCCCCAAUUUAAACGACUUCUCCUUCCACUGAGCUUU
This 440-nucleotide long non-coding RNA is filed under the name Helianthus annuus (common sunflower). Its description in RNAcentral is "hypothetical non coding rna". The stretch from base 191 to 283 matches the Rfam family "Small nucleolar RNA R11/Z151". The record is from RNAcentral. Lineage: Eukaryota; Viridiplantae; Streptophyta; Magnoliopsida; Asterales; Asteraceae.